This is a long non-coding RNA of Neogale vison (American mink), 355 nucleotides long. RefSeq lists it as uncharacterized. NCBI's taxonomy places the organism in Eukaryota, Metazoa, Chordata, Mammalia, Carnivora, Mustelidae. The transcript is spliced from 3 exons. The record is from RefSeq and is a predicted model, not a curated record.
CCCCAGGACACAAUGGACUUCUAGGAAAUACAAGCCUUAGAGGAGUGGUACUCAAACCUGAGAUUGCUGCAGAAUCCCCUGGAGGGGCUUGGUUGAAUCUGUACUGAGCCACUCCCCCAGAGGUUCUGACUCAGCUUUGAAGCAGAAGCUUUAAGAUGUAGGGCAUGGUCCCACUCUUGCUCCUUUUCUUCUGAUCUGACACCAGUAAUGUCUCAGAGACGGUCUAUUCCUUCAGCCUGCAUCCUGGACAGAAGAACCAGAGCUGAUCUCCGAUGGACUUGAAAUUAAAGUACACAAAAGCUAAUCACAAAAGAGAGAGAACAGCAUAUUCAUGAAAAUGAUUGACUACGGAAUC